GAUGAACGCUGGCGGCGUGCUUAACACAUGCAAGUCGAACGAACACUUUCGGGUGUUAGUGGCGGACGGGUGAGUAACGCGUGAGGAUCUGCCUACAGGACCGGGACAACAGUGGGAAACUGCUGCUAAAACCGGAUGUGCCGAGAGGUGAAAUAUUUAUAGCCUGUAGAUGAACUCGCGUCUGAUUAGCUAGUUGGUGGUGUAAGGGACUACCAAGGCUUUGAUCAGUAGCUGUUCUGAGAGGAAGAUCAGCCACACUGGGACUGAGACACGGCCCAG
Molecule: ribosomal RNA, 279 nt
Filed under: uncultured bacterium
Lineage: Bacteria
Description: partial 16S ribosomal RNA
Rfam family: Bacterial small subunit ribosomal RNA
Source: RNAcentral